Molecule: ribosomal RNA, 305 nt
Filed under: uncultured bacterium
Lineage: Bacteria
Description: bacterial SSU rRNA
Rfam family: Bacterial small subunit ribosomal RNA
Source: RNAcentral
UGCCUACGGGGGGCAGCAGUAGGGAAUCUUCCACAAUGGACGAAAGUCUGAUGGAGCAACGCCGCGUGAGUGAAGAAGUAUUUCGGUACGUAAAGCUCUAUCAGCAGGGAAGAAUAAUGACGGUACCUGACUAAGAAGCCCCGGCUAACUACGUGCCAGCAGCCGCGGUAAUACGUAGGGGGCAAGCGUUAUCCGGAUUUACUGGGUGUAAAGGGAGCGUAGACGGCAGCGCAAGUCUGAAGUGAAAUCCCAUGGCUUAACCAUGGAACUGCUUUGGAAACUGUGCAGCUGGAGUGCAGGAGCGG